GACGAGGGGUCCAAGCGUUGUUCGGAAUCAUUGGGCGUAAAGCGGGUGUAGGUGGCUCUGUAAGUCAGGAGUGAAAGCCCCGAGCUUAACUUGGGAAGUGCUUUUGAUACUGCAGAGCUUGAGUGUGGGAGAGGAUCGUGGAAUUCCUGGUGUAGUGGUGAAAUACGUAGAUAUCAGGAGGAACACCGGUGGCGAAGGCGGCGAUCUGGCCCAACACUGACACUGAGACGCAAAAGCGUGGGGAGCAAACAGG
This 253-nucleotide ribosomal RNA is filed under the name uncultured bacterium. Its description in RNAcentral is "partial 16S ribosomal RNA". It matches the Rfam family "Bacterial small subunit ribosomal RNA", at positions 524 to 776 of the family's 1533-position model. The record is from RNAcentral.